AACGAACGCUGGCGGCAUGCCUAACACAUGCAAGUCGAACGAGACCUUCGGGUCUAGUGGCGCACGGGUGCGUAACGCGUGGGAACCUGCCCUUAGGCUCGGAAUAACUCCCCGAAAGGGGUGCUAAUACCGGAUAAUGUCUUCGGACCAAAGAUUUAUCGCCUUUGGAUGGGCCCGCGUUGGAUUAGCUAGUUGGUAGGGUAAAAGCCUACCAAGGCGACGAUCCAUAGCUGGUCUGAGAGGAUGAUCAGCCACACUGGGACUGAGACACGGCCCAGACUCCUACGGGAGGCAGCAGUGGGGAAUAUUGGACAAUGGGCGAAAGCCUGAUCGAGCAAUGCCGCGUGAGUGAUGAAGGCAUUAGGGUUGUAAAGCUCUUUUACCCGGGAUGAUAAUGACAGUACCGGGAGAAUAAGCUCCGGCUAACUCCGUG
Molecule: ribosomal RNA, 433 nt
Filed under: uncultured bacterium
Lineage: Bacteria
Description: partial 16S ribosomal RNA
Rfam family: Bacterial small subunit ribosomal RNA
Source: RNAcentral